This 298-nucleotide ribosomal RNA is filed under the name Spirometra erinaceieuropaei. RNAcentral describes it as "partial 28S ribosomal RNA". It matches the Rfam family "Eukaryotic large subunit ribosomal RNA", at positions 19 to 286 of the family's 3401-position model. Lineage: Eukaryota; Metazoa; Platyhelminthes; Cestoda; Diphyllobothriidea; Diphyllobothriidae. The record is from RNAcentral.
GAUUACCUGGCGAACUUAAGCAUAUCACUAAGCGGAGGAAAAGAAACUAACCAGGAUUCCCCUAGUAACGGCGAGUGAAGAGGGAAUAGCCCAGCACCGAAGCCUGCGGUAGGUUUACUGCUAGGCAAUGUGGUGUUUGGGUCGACUCGCGGGAUUGCCACUCCACUCGAAGUCCAGCACUGAGUAUGGUUCCCUGGAUUUGGCCCAGAGAGGGUGAAAGGCCCGUGCGAGUGGAGGUUCAGACAUGUGAGGCAAUUCACCAGGUCGACCUUCGAGUCGGGGUGUUUGGGAAUGCAGC